Heterocephalus glaber (naked mole-rat) is the source of this 521-nucleotide non-coding RNA. Lineage: Eukaryota; Metazoa; Chordata; Mammalia; Rodentia; Bathyergidae. The record is from RefSeq and is a predicted model, not a curated record.
CCACCCCCGGGGAGCCUCAUCCUGUAGUUGAAGAGCGGCUUCCGGCUCGGCAGCCAAUCCACGGGUGCGUGUCGCCAUAUACGCGUAGGGGGCGCGCCGGUGGCCGAGUUGCUGGCUUUUGAACCCGUUUCCGGAGAGUGUGCGGGCGCCAUGUCCGGCCGCGAAGGUGGCAAGAAGAAGCCCUUGAAACAGCCCAAGAAACAGACCAAGGAGAUGGACGAGGAAGAUAGAGCGUUCAAACAGAAGCAAAAAGAGGAGCAGAAGAAACUCGAGGAGCUAAAAACGAAGGCUGCGGGAAGGGGUCCACUGGCUACAGGUGGAAUUAAGAAAUCUGGCAAAAAAUAAAUUGUUCCUUGUGCCUAAGAUGAUGGUGACCCUUGAUUCCAUUCCUAUUCAAAUACCUGGAUUCCCUGCCAUAACAUCUUUUGACACCUAGGACUAGAAUGAAGUGUCUUCUUGGAGUCUGCUGUACAUUUAACAAUAAAGUUUUGUAAAAAAAAUAAAUAAAAAAUCAUACAGUG